RNAcentral lists this ribosomal RNA (330 nucleotides) under uncultured eukaryote. RNAcentral describes it as "partial 18S ribosomal RNA". It matches the Rfam family "Eukaryotic small subunit ribosomal RNA", at positions 1470 to 1796 of the family's 1831-position model. The record is from RNAcentral.
CCCUUAGAUGUUCUGGGCCGCACGCGCGCUACACUGAUGCAUUCAACGAGUCUAAAACCUGCUCUGAUAGGGGUGGGUAAUCUUUUGAAUGUGCAUCGUGAUUGGGAUAGAUGAUUGCAAUUUUUCAUCUUCAACGAGGAAUGCCUAGUAAACGCAAGUCAUCAGCUUGCAUUGAUUACGUCCCUGCCCUUUGUACACACCGCCCGUCGCUCCUACCGAUUGAAUGAUCCGAUGAAUAUCAUAGACUGAGAGUAUAAGCAGGUUCGCCUGCCUUUGCUUCUCGGGAAGUGAAGUAAAUCUUAUCAUUUAGAGGAAGGAGAAGUCGUAACA